This 4578-nucleotide long non-coding RNA is filed under the name Nicotiana benthamiana. RNAcentral's name for it is "long non-coding RNA (NBEN_LNC038020)". Lineage: Eukaryota; Viridiplantae; Streptophyta; Magnoliopsida; Solanales; Solanaceae. The record is from RNAcentral.
AUCGAUGCAAUUUACAUGAUGUUUCUGUGCGAGUUAUUUGGUGGUGUUGGGGCUACGUUGUUGGACGUAGUUGUUUUGGAUGUUUAUAGUGAAACUUGGAAUCAGAAGAUGGAGAGGUGAGAGAAAGAAAGUUACUGUUUUUCUCUAUUGACAUAUAUUUAUUCUUUGGAGCCCAUAACAAUAACAUCCCACGCUCUCUAAAGAGGCGGGCAGCAUAUAAUGCCACAUCACCGCAUUGUGUUUUAAUGACAUAUUCGAGGUGUGGUUGGAGUGUUUAAAUGGAAUAGACUUAAGAUAAAGUGUAAGUGAAAAGUGAGGACAGCUUUAAGAGGUUGUCGAUAUAUUCUGCCUUAAUUAUUCUCAUUGAACUAUGCAUUUAUUUUAGAUCAUGUUUCUCAACAGGUAAAAUAUGUUAUGUUUGUAUUUCUUUACAAAAUGAGUUAAGAGUUUACUAUUUUAAAGUUUUUACAUGUCAUUAUAUGGUCACAUUAGAGAUAUUCAGAACACCUUUUCGUAUAAUCAAAAUUUUAAGAAUGGAGAAUGACUUGUAUCAUAUGAAAAGUUUGCGCAUCUAUCUUAAAACUUUGAUUGGAUAUAGUAGUUUUAGAUCAUUACAAAAUUGUACACCUUUUUAAAUUUUGAUAUGUCGCAUAUAAAACCUUUCUUUCUGUGGAAGAAAGCACAGAAAACCUUGAGCUCAAGCUUGAGCUUCCAUGGUGGAACUCAGAAGCCUCGAGAGAGAAGUCUGAGAGAAGUCAAUUUGGAAAUGAACUUUGUAAAUCAUAUUAGUUUAGUGAUUGAGUACAUAUAUACACAUGUAGGGUCCUCCACUUACAACAUGUAACAAUCUAACUACUAACUAAUUGCAAACUAAUGAAACAACUAAUCUAACAGUAAGUGAAAACAUAUAAAUAUACAUAGUUCAAUACCCCUCCUCAAGUUGGAGGUGAUGUCUUCACAACCAACUUGCUCAACAUAGUGGAAUGUUUGAUGCCAGGGAGAGCCUUGGUGAGAGUUAUGUGUGCCAAUAUGAUGUAAGGAAAUGAGACCUUCUUGAAGCAUACCCCUCACAAAGUGACAAUCGAACUCGAUGUGUUUGGUCCACUCAUGGAACACUAGAUUCCUAGCAAUGUGUAAAGCUCAUUGGCUGUCACAAUACACAAUCAUAGGCGUAGGAAAAGGAACAGUCAGCUCCUCAAACAAUCUGCAUAACCAAGUCAGCCCCAACCACCUUUCUAAGAGACUUGUAUUUGGUUUCAACUGAAGAAAGAGAAAUGAUUUUCUGCUUCUUAGACUUCCAACGAAAAGGUCUGGUACCUAGCAACACCAAGUAACCACUGACCGACCUUCUGAAAUAUGGGCAGGCAACACAGUCAAAGUCAUACUGCCAUUUAAUGGUGCAAUCAGGAUUAUUAGACAGAAAGAUUCCAAGUGUAGGAUCACAUUUAAGUUACCUAAGCAAGUGAAAUGCUAAGUUUAACUGAAACGUGCUAGUACUAACCAGUUCGAACUUCUUUAUCCUAUAAAGCACGGAAUUGUGCAAAGAACAACGAUUAGGCUCAUGUUUAAAGUUGGAUCGUCACCUUUCAUUGACGCUCCAUUUUAAGUCCAUUCCAUUUGAACACUAGUUGGGUAUUCAAAAUCGAACCAAACUAGAAAACCAAAUCAAAAUCAAAGCUUAAUGAUUUAAUAGUAUUCCAUUAAUAAUUUAAUGGGUGGAGAACGGAUUAAACUCUUUUCAUUAACUAACGAUUUAUCGGUUUGGGUGGAUUAUUCAAUUUUCUUAACGGAUAAUCUAUUAACCCGUUAAGAAUGUGUGUGUGAAUAUAUAUAUAUAUAAAAAAUCUUUUUUCUUAAUUUUGAGUUGGUAUUAUUUGAAACAAAAAAGAAAGGACUUUUUCUUUUUAUUCAUUUUCUUUAUUGUCUUUUUCCUAUUAUGUGGAAAAUUAAGUCCAGUCACAUAUUAUACAGGCACUAUAUUCAAAUUGAAAAUUUUUUCGUCAGUAUCUGAUCCAACACAAUCGUCCGAAAGCACUUCUUGCUCAAUAUCAGGUAAACAACUUAAAUUAUUUUUUUAUUGGCAACUUAAUCAAUUACUAGAGAGAAAAAAAUAAUAAUAACGCCCUAUACAGUUAUUAUUUUUUACUAAUUAUGUGAUGAGUCUUGGUAGAGAAUUAAAGAAAUGAAAUGGGUUUGGUCAAGAGAACAUUUAGUUGUAGGUGCGUAUUUUCUACUAAUUCACUAAACUGAUAUCAAUCCGCUCGAUAUCUUAUCGGAUAGCUAGUAGCUAGUGGAUUAAUACAUUUAAAAAUGGAUAACAGAAUAUUUCCGACAAUCCUUGAGGCAUCCGCGAAAAGAAGAACAGAAUAUCCAUAGCUUUCGCAUUUAUUGUCAUUUCUAAAGGGCAGAGUCUUUUCUAGAUCUGCCCCUCUUUCUCGCUCUCUCCUGAUUCGUUGUUCAUCACUGUAAGAUCUCUCUUCUCCAAUUCAUUGAUUUUCAUCACACACACACAUCGUUCGGUUGCUAACAAUUGAUAUGAUAAAGUUUGUUUAUUUGUGUAUCUAUUUUGUUGAUCGAGAAGUUUAUGGAAUUUAAGAUCUGGAUUUAGGCCGUUUGGAUCUGGGGUUUUAAUAAGGUUUUCAUCUUUAUUUGAUAUUCAUGUGCAUUCUUCGUAUUUCUAUUGAUUUGAUCUGGUUAUGCUUUCUGUAUUAUGUCAAUUUUUGGAUGUGGAUUUUUGUUCUUUUUUGUUAAUGGAUCUGGAUUUUGGUUAGUUAUGUCAAUGUUCAAUUUCUAAUAAAGUUUUCAUCUUUCUUUGAUAUUCAUGUGCAUUCUUCGUAUUUCUAUUGAUUUGAUCUGGUUAUGCUUUCUGUAUUAUGUCAAUUUUUUGGAUGUGGAUUUUUGUUCUUUUUUGUUAAUGGAUCUAAGACAAGAGGGGUUGCUCUGAUGGUAAGCAACCCCACUUCCAACCGAGAGGUUGUGAGUNNNNNNNNNNNNNNNNNNNNNNNNNNNNNNNNNNNNNNNNNNNNNNNNNNNNNNNNNNNNNNNNNNNNNNNNNNNNNNNNNNNNNNNNNNNNNNNNNNNNNNNNNNNNNNNNNNNNNNNNNNNNNNNNNNNNNNNNNNNNNNNNNNNNNNNNNNNNAACGGUAGGGGUAAGGUCUGCGUACACACUACCCUCCCCAGACCCCACUAAGUGGGAUUAUACUGGGUUGUUGUUGUUGUUGUUGUUGUUGUUUUGUUAAUGGAUCUUUUUGGGUUUCAUCACUACUGUAUCUUGAAGCGAAACUCUGUUUUCUUAUCAGUUUCUUCAGCUAUUUUUCCUCUGUUUUCUGAUCUCGUCUUCUUUGGUGCCGGCCACCAUCAAACUUGUUGGCAAAACUCUUAACUCUCAGAUCUGAGAUUUUCGAAAAAAAUUAAUAAAAGAGAGGAUUUCAGUUUACUCUCCUAUUUGCGUUCUUUGGCAUCCACUUCUCCUGAGUUUAAAAGGGCUGUUGGCUAUUAGUCUCUCAAAUCUGAGAUUUUCGAAAAAUUUUAAUAAAAGAGAGGAUUUCAGUUUGGUCUCAUAUUUCCGUUCUUUGGCACUUCUCCUGAGUUUAAAAGGGUUGUUGGCUGUUAGAGUUACUGAUUUUCUUGUGAAGCUGCCUAAAAUCUAUCUGGAUUUGGAUUUCUGCCUCUAUUUCGGAGCUUAAUUUUUUUGUUGUUUCAGCCAAAUGUGAAACCUCAAAAGCCUUAGUUCACUGCCCGCAAAAAGAUUCUCCAAUCAGUUUUUUUUUUGAAUUCUUGCUUUUCGCCGGCGAUUUUUUCGGCGACCCCUGCUCUUUUCUUCCUAUUCUCUCUUCUGCUUUUUGUGGGUAUGUGUGGGUGUGUUCUAUUUUCUUGAACAGGUGCCCUAUUUUUCCGGCGAGGAUUUCCGGCAAGCUACAGUACUUCCGGCGACUACACGUUUAGACUUUCGGCAAGACGCAAUAGAACUACACGUUCUGGUUUUCUUGGACAGGUGCCUUAUAUUUCCGGCAAACUACAGUACUUACGGCGACUCCUGUUCAGACUGUUGGCAGGACGCAACAAAACUACACGUUCCGAUAAGCUUCAGGAAAACUUUUCCCAGGUAUCCGUCGCGGCGGCGAGGCAAGUUCGCGGCGUUUGGGAGUCAAGAGCUAAGCAACACCGCCCGGAACGUGCAAGAGUCGGUAGCAGUUGACCUUGGGCGCAUCAAAGCCUACUUUCAGGUUUUUCCACCGGGAGUUGGUACCUCCCGCUCUCUUGUUUACUUAGUACACCUUUUACGUAUUUUACCUAGCAUUCCGUGUGAGGUUUAAUCUGGUACUAUCUAGUUUGCCUCUUUUUGCGUAUUCCGCUAUAGUGUGUGUGUGUGUCACUAUUCUCCAUAGUCGGUUGGAGGGAUAGUGGCCGCGACGGGGAUGAUAGUGUAAGGUCAUGUCCUCGGGUGUGGGGGCGGUGGCGGGGGUGAGUAUGGGGCAGGGAGUGGUCCUGUGGAUAGGGGCGGGAGGUAAGGGUCGGAAGAGGGUAGCGGACGCUCAUAGAUUAAGGAUUGGGUCGUGGAACAUAGGCACUCUGANNN